UUUGACGUUGUAGGUGACUGAAUUUUCGGUUCGUUUCGGUAGCCAAAUGUGAUGUACAAAACGGAGCGAUUUCUCCUACACAAAGACGCUUUCAGGAAAAACUGCACAUUUGCUAACUGAGAGUCUCCUCAUUGAAAACAUCCGAAGCUCUUCAAAGGUAAAUGAUUUUAUUUAUUUGGUUAUCUGGUUUUUGUGAAAAUGUUGCGUGCUAAAUGCUACUCAAAAUGCUAAGCUAGCUUAGCAUACUCUUACACAAAUUAGUGAAUUGCUAUGGUUCAAAAGCAUAUUUUGAAAAUCUGAGAUGACAGUGUUGUUAAGAAAAUGCUAAGCUUGAGAGUAGGCACAUUAUUUUCAUUUUAUUUGCGAUUUUCAAAAAUCGUUAACGUUGCGUUAUGCUAAUGAGCCUGAGGCUUUAGUCACGAUCCCGGAUCCGGGAUGGGGAGUUUCAAGAUUAAUGGAAGAAGAUGUUCACAUUCACUGUUCAGAUAACUGAGAAUCAUGUCCAGGGAGUACUGACAUUAACAAUGUGGUCCUGAAAGGAAAGAGAAGGAACUUAGGCUAUAGCACUGCUAUAAUGUGAAUUACAUGACUUACUGUUUCAUAUUUUUGUAUAACGUACUUUCAGACUACUGAAACCCCACCCGAUGUGGUGGAAGUUGUCUAACCAGAUCAGAACACCUUCGAGGACCACCUUCAGGAAGGUACUGAGAACGAUGGAGGUUUUUGAAUAGGGGAGACUGAACGUUGACAAGGCGUAGGAGAGCUACCAGAGCAGAAUCAAGAAGGGGACCAAGUGCCACGACAUCCGGGAUAAUUACUUAGUUUGGAAGGCGAGACCUGGGACACCUCGUUGCUGUCGCUCCUAUCUGGGUUCACCAUCUGUUAAGGGCCUAGGGGUUCUGCCCAACACCCAGACGUGGAUCCACCUGAUGUCCUCCAUUACCUCCAUGUGACUGGAACGAAUUACAAAAAUCCCUGAAGUUGGAGACUUUUAUCUCCUUCACCAACUUCAAACAUCUGCUAUCUGAGCAGCUAACCGAUUGUUGCAGCUGUACAUAGUCUAUUGGUAAAUAGCCCACCCAUUUUCACCUACCUCAUCCCCAUACUGUUUUUAUUUAUUUACUUUUCUGCUCUUUUGCACACCAAUAUCUCUACCUGUACACAACCAUCUGAUCAUUUAUCAUUCCAGUGUUAAUCUGCAAAAUUGUAAUUAUUCGCCUACCUCCUCAUGCCUUUUGCACACAAUGUAUAUAGACUCCCCUUUUUUUCUACUGUGUUAUUGACUUGUUAAUUGUUUACUCCAUGUGUAACUCUGUGUUGUCUGUUCACACUGCUAUGCUUUAUCUUGGCCAGGUCGCAGUUGCAAAUGAGAACUUGUUCUCAACUAGCCUACCUGGUUAAAUAAAGGUGAAAA
Long non-coding RNA from Oncorhynchus masou masou (cherry salmon), 1414 nucleotides. RefSeq lists it as uncharacterized. The record is from RefSeq and is a predicted model, not a curated record. NCBI's taxonomy places the organism in Eukaryota, Metazoa, Chordata, Actinopteri, Salmoniformes, Salmonidae. The transcript has 3 exons.